GCUGGGCGUGGUGACUCACGCCUGUAAAUCCCAGCACUUUAGGGGGCCGAGGCAGGCGGAUUGCCUGAGCCUGGGAAUUCGGGACCAGCCUGGGUAACAUGGCAAAACCCUGUCUCUACUAAAAAUACCAAAAAUUAGCUGGGCGUAGUGGUGAAUGUCUGUAAUCCCAGAUACUUGGGAGGCUGAGGUGGGAGAAUCGCUUGAACCUGCGAGGUGGAUGUUGCAGUGAGCUGAGAUAGUGCCACUGCACUCCAGCCUGGGCGACAGAGUGAGACUCUGUCUCA
This 284-nucleotide small RNA is filed under the name Pongo abelii (Sumatran orangutan). The record is from RNAcentral. Lineage: Eukaryota; Metazoa; Chordata; Mammalia; Primates; Hominidae.